CAUGUAGGCGGAUUGAUAAGUUUGAAGUGAAAUCCUAUAGCUUAACUAUAGAACUGCUUUGAAAACUGUUAAUCUAGAAUGUGGGAGAGGUAGAUGGAAUUUCUGGUGUAGGGGUAAAAUCCGUAGAGAUCAGAAGGAAUAUCGAUUGCGAAGGCGAUCUACUGGAACAUUAUUGACGCUGAGAUGCGAAAGCGUGGGGAAGCAAACA
RNAcentral lists this ribosomal RNA (208 nucleotides) under uncultured bacterium. RNAcentral describes it as "partial 16S ribosomal RNA". It matches the Rfam family "Bacterial small subunit ribosomal RNA", at positions 568 to 774 of the family's 1533-position model. The record is from RNAcentral.